GACCGUACCGCAAACCGACACUGGUGCGCGAGAUGAGUAUUCUAAGGCGCUUGAGAGAACUCAGGAGAAGGAACUCGGCAAAUUGACACCGUAACUUCGGAAGAAGGUGUGCCUUUAGUAGGUGAACCAUUUACUUGGGGAGCCCAAUGAGGCUGCAAAAAAUCGGUGGCUGCAACUGUUUAUUAAAAACACAGCACUCUGCUAAGACGAAAGUCGACGUAUAGGGUGUGACGCCUGCCCGGUGCUGGAAGAUUAAAUGAUGGGGUGCAAGCUCUUGAUUGAAGUCCCAGUAAACGGCGGCCGUAACAAUAACGGUCCUAAGGUAGCGAAAUUCCUUGUCGGGUAAGUUCCGACCUGCACGAAUGGCGUAAUGAUGGCCACACUGUCUCCUCCUGAGACUCAGCGAAGUUGAAAUGUUUGUGAUGAUGCAAUCUCCCCGCGGAAAGACGGAAAGACCCCAUGAACCUUUACUGUAGCUUUGUAUUGGACUUUGAACAGAUCUGUGUAGGAUAGGUGGGAGGCUUUGAAGUGUGGUCGCUAGAUCGCAUGGAGCCAACGUUGAAAUACCACCCUGGUGUGUUUGAGGUUCUAACCUAGGUCCAUUAUCUGGAUCGGGGACAGUGCAUGGUAGGCAGUUUGACUGGGGCGGUCUCCUCCCAAAGUGUAACGGAGGAGUUCGAAGGUACGCUAGGUACGGUCGGACAUCGUGCUAAUAGUGCAAUGGCAUAAGCGUGCUUAACUGCGAGACUGACAAGUCGAGCAGAUGCGAAAGCAGGACAUAGUGAUCCGGUGGUUCUGUAUGGAAGGGCCAUCGCUCAACGGAUAAAAGGUACUCUGGGGAUAACAGGCUAAUACCGCCCAAGAGUUCAUAUCGACGGCGGUGUUUGGCACCUCGAUGUCGGCUCAUCUCAUCCUGGGGCUGUAGCCGGUCCCAAGGGUAUGGCUGUUCGCCAUUUAAAGAGGUACGUGAGCUGGGUUUAAAACGUCGUGAGACAGUUUGGUCCCUAUCUUCCGUGGGCGCUGCAGAUUUGAGGAAGCCUGCUCCUAGUACGAGAGGGCCGGAGUGGACGAACCUCUGGUGUAUCGGUUGUCACGCCAGUGGCAUUGCCGAGUAGCUAAGUUCGGAAGAGAUAACCGCUGAAAGCAUCUAAGCGGGAAACUCGUUUCAAGAUUAGAUCUGCCGGGGCCUUGAGCCCCCUAAAGAGUCGUUCAAGACCAGGACGUUGAUAGGUCAGGUGUGGAAGCUA
Molecule: ribosomal RNA, 1247 nt
Filed under: metagenome
Description: bacterial LSU rRNA
Rfam family: Bacterial large subunit ribosomal RNA
Source: RNAcentral